GGUUUGGAAUCUACUCACUUUCCGUCAUUGUUAUGAAGUGGAAUACUCAUUAAAGAUAUGUCCUCCCCACUACCACCUUGUGAGGGUACAAGCUCCACCACCAUUUUCCACCCCACUCUUUCGGUUCGAUAGCGAACUCGCUGCUACUCUGGGAUUAUCAGAGCGCCAAGUUAAAAUCUGGUUUCAAAACAGACGACCGAAAUGGCGGAAACAAGCAAAAAGAAGUGCAUUGGAAAGAAAAUUCAAAUGGACAGCUUUCACCAGCAGAGCCUCUUACAGCAGCAGCAACGACAUUCACAACCGGGUCAGGGAGCAACAUAAAUAAUAAAUAAAAUAAAAAUAAUGAACACUCCAAAAAUAAUGAACAAUCCAAAAAUAAUGAACAAUCCAAAAAUAAUAAACAUAAAUAAAUAAUAAAUGAACAAAUAAAA
Zophobas morio is the source of this 431-nucleotide long non-coding RNA. RefSeq lists it as uncharacterized. The transcript has 3 exons. Lineage: Eukaryota; Metazoa; Arthropoda; Insecta; Coleoptera; Tenebrionidae. The record is from RefSeq and is a predicted model, not a curated record.